Molecule: long non-coding RNA, 611 nt
Organism: Asterias rubens (European starfish)
Lineage: Eukaryota; Metazoa; Echinodermata; Asteroidea; Forcipulatida; Asteriidae
Exons: 5
Source: RefSeq, a predicted model, not a curated record
GCUUAGCAUCUUUAAAGAUAUCUACCCUCCAACAAGAUCUACUUGUCCAAGACCAGUAUCUGCUUGGGUCUCCAGUAAUGUUGUUGUUAGCAUCUCUAAAGACAUCUACCCUUGAACCAGGAUCUGCUUCAUUCUCCAGUAACAGUUGAGCUUAACAUCACCAAAGACAUCUACCCAUCAACAAGUAGAUGUCCAAGGGGAAUACCAGACCAGCUGCACUCUCUCAAGUAAUAGUAAGGCUUAGCAUCAGCAAAGUAGAUCUCCAAGACGAACCUAUCAUGAAGGAGCUACAGUCAUCAUCAUCAUCCUUCGGCUGCGGAGCAGGGGACUACAAGCUUCUUCCAACUACGACGAUCUUGGGCAAGUGUGGAGAUUUGGCUUGGUUGUAGAAUGCCUUCAUCAUCUCCAAGCAGACGUUGUACAUAUGUCAGGAAUGAUAUGUGUUGCCUUCCUGGUCUUCUUUUCAUGUGGGUGUGUAUAGAGUGUAAACCUUGACAAGCUUUACAGUCUUCAGUCAUAGGCUUAACAUCUGCAAAGACGUCUUCCCCUCAACGCAAGUAGACCCAUCCAAGACCAGCAGACGAUGAAGGAGCUACGUGUACACUCUCAAG